RNAcentral lists this non-coding RNA (24 nucleotides) under Arabidopsis thaliana (thale cress). The record is from RNAcentral. Lineage: Eukaryota; Viridiplantae; Streptophyta; Magnoliopsida; Brassicales; Brassicaceae.
CCAACAGAAUUCAGGAUAUCCUGG